UUAAGCGACUAAGCGUACACGGUGGAUGCCCUGGCAGUCAGAGGCGAUGAAGGACGUGCUAAUCUGCGAAAAGCGUCGGUAAGGUGAUAUGAACCGUUACAGCCGGCGAUGUCCGAAUGGGGAAACCCAGUGCAAUUCGUUGCACUAUCGUUAACUGAAUACAUAGGUUAACGAGGCGAACCGGGGGAACUGAAACAUCUAAGUACCCCGAGGAAAAGAAAUCAACCGAGAUUCCCCCAGUAGCGGCGAGCGAACGGGGAGCAGCCCAGAGUCUGAAUCAGCUUGUGUGUUAGUGGAACGGUCUGGAAAGUCCGACGGUACAGGGUGAUAGUCCCGUACACCAAAAUGCACAGGCUGUGAACUCGAAGAGUAGGGCGGGACACGUGGUAUCCUGUCUGAAUAUGGGGGGACCAUCCUCCAAGGCUAAAUACUCCUGACUGACCGAUAGUGAACCAGUACCGUGAGGGAAAGGCGAAAAGAACCCCGGCGAGGGGAGUGAAAAAGAACCUGAAACCGUGUACGUACAAGCAGUGGGAGCACCUUCGGGUGUGACUGCGUACCUUUUGUAUAAUGGGUCAGCGACUUAUAUUCUGUAGCAAGGUUAACCGUAUAGGGGAGCCGCAGGGAAACCGAGUCUUAACUGGGCGUUAAGUUGCAGGGUAUAGACCCGAAACCCGGUGAUCUAGCCAUGGGCAGGUUGAAGGUUGGGUAACACUAACUGGAGGACCGAACCGACUAAUGUUGAAAAAUUAGCGGAUGACUUGUGGCUGGGGGUGAAAGGCCAAUCAAACCGGGAGAUAGCUGGUUCUCCCCGAAAGCUAUUUAGGUAGCGCCUCGUGAAUUCAUCUUCGGGGGUAGAGCACUGUUUCGGCUAGGGGGUCAUCCCGACUUACCAACCCGAUGCAAACUACGAAUACCGAAGAAUGUUAUCACGGGAGACACACGGCGGGUGCUAACGUCCGUCGUGAAGAGGGAAACAACCCAGACCGCCAGCUAAGGUCCCAAAGUCAUGGUUAAGUGGGAAACGAUGUGGGAAGGCACAGACAGCCAGGAUGUUGGCUUAGAAGCAGCCAUCAUUUAAAGAAAGCGUAAUAGCUCACUGGUCGAGUCGGCCUGCGCGGAAGAUGUAACGGGGCUAAACCAUGCACCGAAGCUGCGGCAGCGACACUAUGUGUUGUUGGGUAGGGGAGCGUUCUGUAAGCCUGCGAAGGUGACCUGUGAGGGUUGCUGGAGGUAUCAGAAGUGCGAAUGCUGACAUAAGUAACGAUAAAGCGGGUGAAAAGCCCGCUCGCCGGAAGACCAAGGGUUCCUGUCCAACGUUAAUCGGGGCAGGGUGAGUCGACCCCUAAGGCGAGGCCGAAAGGCGUAGUCGAUGGGAAACAGGUUAAUAUUCCUGUACUUGGUGUUACUGCGAAGGGGGGACGGAGAAGGCUAUGUUAGCCGGGCGACGGUUGUCCCGGUUUAAGCAUGUAGGCUGAUUGUCCAGGCAAAUCCGGAUAAUCAAGGCUGAGGUGUGAUGACGAGGCACUACGGUGCUGAAGUAACAAAUGCCCUGCUUCCAGGAAAAGCCUCUAAGCAUCAGGUAACAUUAAAUCGUACCCCAAACCGACACAGGUGGUCAGGUAGAGAAUACCAAGGCGCUUGAGAGAACUCGGGUGAAGGAACUAGGCAAAAUGGUGCCGUAACUUCGGGAGAAGGCACGCUGGUGUGUAGGUGAAGUCCCUGCGGAUGGAGCUGAGACCAGUCGAAGAUACCAGCUGGCUGCAACUGUUUAUUAAAAACACAGCACUGUGCAAACACGAAAGUGGACGUAUACGGUGUGACGCCUGCCCGGUGCCGGAAGGUUAAUUGAUGGGGUUAUCCGUAAGGAGAAGCUCUUGAUCGAAGCCCCGGUAAACGGCGGCCGUAACUAUAACGGUCCUAAGGUAGCGAAAUUCCUUGUCGGGUAAGUUCCGACCUGCACGAAUGGCGUAAUGAUGGCCAGGCUGUCUCCACCCGAGACUCAGUGAAAUUGAACUCGCUGUGAAGAUGCAGUGUACCCGCGGCAAGACGGAAAGACCCCGUGAACCUUUACUAUAGCUUGACACUGAACAUUGAGCCUUGAUGUGUAGGAUAGGUGGGAGGCUUUGAAGCGUGGACGCCAGUCUGCGUGGAGCCAACCUUGAAAUACCACCCUUUAAUGUUUGAUGUUCUAACGUUGGCCCCUGACCGGGGUUGCGGACAGUGUCUGGUGGGUAGUUUGACUGGGGCGGUCUCCUCCCAAAGCGUAACGGAGGAGCACGAAGGUUAGCUAAUCCUGGUCGGACAUCAGGAGGUUAGUGCAAUGGCAUAAGCUAGCUUGACUGCGAGCGUGACGGCGCGAGCAGGUGCGAAAGCAGGUCAUAGUGAUCCGGUGGUUCUGAAUGGAAGGGCCAUCGCUCAACGGAUAAAAGGUACUCCGGGGAUAACAGGCUGAUACCGCCCAAGAGUUCAUAUCGACGGCGGUGUUUGGCACCUCGAUGUCGGCUCAUCACAUCCUGGGGCUGAAGUAGGUCCCAAGGGUAUGGCUGUUCGCCAUUUAAAGUGGUACGCGAGCUGGGUUUAGAACGUCGUGAGACAGUUCGGUCCCUAUCUGCCGUGGGCGCUGGAGAAUUGAGGGGGGCUGCUCCUAGUACGAGAGGACCGGAGUGGACGCAUCACUGGUGUUCGGGUUGUCAUGCCAAUGGCACUGCCCGGUAGCUAAAUGCGGAAGAGAUAAGUGCUGAAAGCAUCUAAGCACGAAACUUGCCCCGAGAUGAGUUCUCCCUGAGACUUUAAGUCUCCUGAAGGAACGUUAAAGACGAUGACGUUGAUAGGCCGGGUGUGUAAGCGCAGCGAUGCGUUGAGCUAACCGGUACUAAUGAACCGUGAGGCUUAACCU
This 2899-nucleotide ribosomal RNA is filed under the name Klebsiella pneumoniae. Its description in RNAcentral is "bacterial LSU rRNA". It matches the Rfam family "Bacterial large subunit ribosomal RNA". The record is from RNAcentral. Lineage: Bacteria; Pseudomonadati; Pseudomonadota; Gammaproteobacteria; Enterobacterales; Enterobacteriaceae.